GGAGAGAAAAGGAUGUCUGUUUUAUGGGCUGUAAAGCAAUGAGAGGGGGUUGUCAGUAAAAAGCAGCAAUGAAGAAGAAGAAGAAGAAGAAGAAGAAGAAGAAGCAGAUGAAGAUUUCCGGCUCCAUCUCUUCAACCGCAACAGUAAGAAGAGGAGGAGGAGAAGAAUGUGGGGUGCGUGUGUGUGUGAAGAGCUGUGGGUUGUUCUGCUGGCAAAACAAGGAAGGGAGGGAGUAAAGGAGGAAGAAAGUAACAGCUCUGUUUCAUUGAUGAGGAACAAACACCUUCGCCAACUAACUCCAAACAUGCUGUUUGAUCUUGGCUUGGGCUCCAUUACUAGGUUGGCAAUUGCUUCUUUUGGGACUAAAAGGGAGCAGUGGGGGGGUUGGGUUGGUCAGCUUGGAUUCUUGUUCUUGCUUUUGUUUUCUUCACCCUUUUUCUUUUAUGGGAUCACAUCAUCAAUUACAGUGCACUACAGCUGGUGUUGUCCAGCUUAAUCCCAGUUUUUAUUGGGCCUCAUAUGGCCCAACCAUCCAAUUUGUGAACCUUUAUUUUUGGCAAAA
Molecule: non-coding RNA, 562 nt
Organism: Musa acuminata subsp. malaccensis (wild Malaysian banana)
Lineage: Eukaryota; Viridiplantae; Streptophyta; Magnoliopsida; Zingiberales; Musaceae
Source: RefSeq, a predicted model, not a curated record